This 253-nucleotide ribosomal RNA is filed under the name uncultured bacterium. Its description in RNAcentral is "partial 16S ribosomal RNA". It matches the Rfam family "Bacterial small subunit ribosomal RNA", at positions 524 to 776 of the family's 1533-position model. The record is from RNAcentral.
UACGUAGGAGACGAGCGUUGUCCGGAAUCACUGGGCGUAAAGCGCGUGUAGGCGGAUCGGCAAGUCUGCUGUGAAAGCGCCUGGCUUAACCGGGCGAGGUCGGCGGAAACUGUCCGACUCGAGGACGGUAGAGGGGGGUGGAAUUCCCGGUGUAGUGGUGAAAUGCGUAGAUAUCUGCAGGAACACCCGUGGCGAAGGCGGCUGACUGGAUCGCAACUGACGCUGAGGAACGAAAGCUAGGGGAGCAAACAGG